GAAUUUUCUGUGUAUUCUUUUCCUUGUAGGAGGUCAUAUUUAUAAUACAAUGAAACCUGAAUGGGCAAGUAAAUAAUAAAUUCCUAAAUCUAUUUAGAGUAGGAAAUCAGGAAUUAAAGUAAAUCAAUUACAAUUAUAAUAGGAAUUCUUGGUGUGUAAGGAAAGUAAGUCAAUAUCCACAAGUCACGCCAACACUCCCCCUCACGUUGGUGCAUAGAUGUCGCCAAUGCCCAACUGAUCCAGUGAAUUGUGGAAUGCUUUACUGAAAAUCAAUCUGGUCCAUGCGUCGGGGUCGUUAGUCGAGAAGUCAUAAUCUGUGCAGCGGAAGAUGCAUAGGAUACAGUUGAGUAGGAGUCAUAAUCUGUGCAGCGGAAGAUGCAUAGGAUACAGUUGAGUAGGAAUUGGGAUCGGGGUCUGAAUCAGAGCCAAAUUCGGGGUUGGGGUCAUCAUCGGAGUGGGGGUCGAUGUCGUCUUCGGAGUCGGAGUCGGGGUCGGGGUCGAGGUCGUCUUCGGAGUCGGGGUCGGGGUCGUCUUCGGAGUCGGGGUCGGGGUCGUCUUCGGAGUCGGGGUCGGGGUCGUCUUCCGAGUCGGGGUCGGGGUCGUCUUCGGAGUCAGGGUCGGGGUCGUUGUCGUCAUAGUCGGAGUCGGGGUCGGGGUCGUCAAAAGAGGAUCCUGAUUCUGGAUUAGGUUCGGGGUAAAAGUCUGCAUCUGUAGGAGCGGAGCCAUCUGGGCACUCAACUCAACGAUGGUUGGUGGAGAAUGAGAGAAUGAGUCGGUGGUGCUACCUCUAUGAGGGUUGAAAAAAUCAUCAACCCCCAUAACACUAAAUAAAAUAAUCUCUAUUACAAUAUGACAAAAUAUAAUUGGUAAGUAACCAAAAUUCUAAUGAAAUAAGGACUCGUCAACACUCCCCCUCAAGUUGGGCAAAGAUAUUUCGCAGGCCCAACUUGACAAGCGAGUCACAGGACACCAUACUUGAGAAACAAAGUUCACAGCGGAAACACAAGAGCAAACCCUAAAAAAUAGGGCACAUAGCAAAACACAGAAAUCCUGUGAGCACGGCUGUAGAUAAGGCAGAACACAGAAACCCUGUGAGCACGGCAGUAGGUAAGGCAGAACACAGAAACUGUGUGAGCACAGCAAUUGGUAAGGCAGAACACAAAAAUCCUGUGAGCACGGCAAUAGGUAAGGCAGAACACCGAAACCCCAUGAGCACGGCAGUAGAGACAAUGGCAACAAUAAAUUCUUCCAUAUAAACUUUAGCUAAUUCACUCAUACACAACUUCUCUUCAAUCCUCCUCUCCCUUUGAAGAGAAGGGGUCGUCGGAGUCAAGAAAUAAGCAACAUCUUCAUGGAAAUAUGUCAAGGUAAUUGGGAUAGGUCAAUAAACAUAUCCCUUUCACUCCCCCUCCCCCCUCUCAAGGGGGGAGAAGAACACUUAAAUUUCAAGAAGAACACAAGCACAGGUCCCUAGAUCGAACCUGGCUCUGAUACCAUGCUAAAAUAUUAAAACUAUGAGAGAAUAUUUGUUUGUGGGAAUUUUCUGUGUAUUCUUUUCCUUGUAGGAGGUCAUAUUUAUAAUACAAUGAAACCUGAAUGGGCAAGUAAAUAAUAAAUUCCUAAAUCUAUUUAGAGUAGGAAAUCAGGAAUUAAAGUAAAUCAAUUACAAUUAUAAUAGGAAUUCUUGGUGUGUAAGGAAAGUAAGUCAAUAUCCACAAGUCACGCCAACAUAGUGCAUGUUCUUUUUUCAUUUUGUUAUUUAUUUAUUUUAAUUUAAAUAAAUUGGGAAUGAACUAUUU
Molecule: long non-coding RNA, 1799 nt
Filed under: Prunus persica (peach)
Lineage: Eukaryota; Viridiplantae; Streptophyta; Magnoliopsida; Rosales; Rosaceae
Description: long non-coding RNA (PPER_LNC004281)
Source: RNAcentral